Molecule: ribosomal RNA, 253 nt
Filed under: uncultured bacterium
Lineage: Bacteria
Description: partial 16S ribosomal RNA
Rfam family: Bacterial small subunit ribosomal RNA
Source: RNAcentral
UACGUAGGCAGCAAGCGUUGUUCGGAGUUACUGGGCGUAAAGGGAGCGUAGGCGGCCUUGUAAGUCAGUGGUGAAAUCUUUCCGCUUAACGGAAAAACUGCCAUUGAUACUGCUUGGCUUGAGUACAGAUGCUGUGGGCGGAAUAUGACAUGUAGUGGUGAAAUACAUAGAGAUGUCAUAGAACACCGAUUGCGAAGGCAGCUCACAAAACUGUAACCGACGCUGAGGCUCGAAAGCGUGGGGAGCAAACAGG